GAUCCUGGCUCAGGAUGAACGCUAGCUACAGGCUUAACACAUGCAAGUCGAGGGGCAGCAUGUUGGUUGCUUGCAACCAAUGAUGGCGACCGGCGCACGGGUGAGUAACGCGUAUCCAACCUACCCUUGUCCAUCGGAUAACCCGUCGAAAGGCGGCCUAACACGAUAUGCGGUUCACAGCAGGCAUCUAACGUGAACGAAAUGUAAGAGAGA
This 213-nucleotide ribosomal RNA is filed under the name uncultured bacterium. RNAcentral's name for it is "partial 16S ribosomal RNA". It matches the Rfam family "Bacterial small subunit ribosomal RNA", at positions 15 to 216 of the family's 1533-position model. The record is from RNAcentral.